RNAcentral lists this ribosomal RNA (449 nucleotides) under uncultured Anaerolineaceae bacterium. Its description in RNAcentral is "bacterial SSU rRNA". It matches the Rfam family "Bacterial small subunit ribosomal RNA", at positions 919 to 1382 of the family's 1533-position model. The record is from RNAcentral. Lineage: Bacteria; Bacillati; Chloroflexota; Anaerolineae; Anaerolineales; Anaerolineaceae.
ACCCGCACAAGCAGCGGAGCGUGUGGUUUAAUUCGAUGCUACACGAAGAACCUUACCAGGGUUUGACAUGCAAGUGGUAGGAAUCUGAAAAGGGACCGACCUUCGGGGAGCUUGCACAGGUGCUGCAUGGCUGUCGUCAGCUCGUGUCGUGAGAUGUUCGGUUAAGUCCGCUAACGAGCGCAACCCUCACUGUGUGUUAUAUGUGUCACACGGGACUGCCGGUUUUAAGCCGGAGGAAGGUGGGGAUGACGUCAAGUCAGCAUGGCCUUUAUAUCCUGGGCUACACACACGCUACAAUGGUCGGUACAAUAGGUUGCCAAGCCGCGAGGCGGAGCCAAUCCACAAAGCCGGCCUCAGUUCAGAUUGUAGGCUGCAACUCGCCUGCAUGAAGAUGGAGUUGCUAGUAACCGCAGGUCAGCUAUACUGCGGUGAAUACGUUCCCGGGUCUU